RNAcentral lists this ribosomal RNA (1603 nucleotides) under marine metagenome. RNAcentral's name for it is "bacterial LSU rRNA". It matches the Rfam family "Bacterial large subunit ribosomal RNA", at positions 842 to 2557 of the family's 2925-position model. The record is from RNAcentral.
GAGAUAGCUGGUUUUCUGCGAAAUCUAUUUAAGUAGAGUGUUUAUUGUGAUACCUGAGGUAGAGCUCUCUUUUAGUGCGGGGUUGUCUAUCUUCUACCAAACUUUUGGAAACUUCGAAUUCGGGAUUAUUAAAUUUAAACAAACAGACUAGAGGUGCUAAGAUCUUUAGUCGAGAGGGAAACAGCCCAGAUUGACCGUUAAGGACCUUAAAAAUACAGAAGUUAAAGGAAGUUAAAAACUUUUAACAGCCAGGAGGUAGGCUUAGAAGCAGCCACCCUAUGAUGAAAGCGUAGCAGCUCACUGGUCUAGGUUUUUUGCACCGAAAAUUUAAUGGGAUUAAAAGUAUUUUCCGAAGCGGCAAAAUCCAAUUUUUGGAUUGGUAGCAGAAUGUUCUGUAAAUUUUUAAAGCUAAGCUGUCAGGUUUAGUGGAGAUAUCAGAAGUAAGAAUGCUGACAUAAGUAACGAUAAAGAGUGUUUAAAACACUCUCGCUGUAAACCCAAGGUUUUCGAUGUCAAGUUAAGCUGCGUCGAAGAGAAAUUCAAAAAUAAAAACGGCCCCUAAGAAUAUAGUGAAAACUCAUUUUGAUGGGAAACAAUAUACUGUUUUGAAAGUUGUGACAAAAGGCUUGAAUUUUGUGUUAAAAAGAUCAUUUUGAUGCAAAUUAAUCUUUUCAAGAAAUAGCACUUUCUUUAUUACCGUACCGUAAACUGACACAAGUGGGUGGGUUGAGAAAACUAAAGCGCUUGAGAGAACUGUGUAAAAGGAACUCGGCAAAAUGGCUCCGUAACUUAGGAAGAAGGAGUGACUUUUAAUUCAAUAUUUGCAAUAUGCAAUAAAUGUUCUAAAAGUUGUCACAAAAUUGGAAGAAGCAACUGUUUAACAAAAACACAGGUCUCUGCUAAUUCGCAAGAAGAUGUAUAGGGGCUGACGCGUGCCCGGUGCUGCAAGGUUAAGGGGAGGCGUCUUGGCGCUGAACUCAAGCCCCAGUAAACGGCGGCCGUAACUCUGACGGUCCAAAGGUAGCGAAAUUCUUUGCCACCUAAUUAGUGGCCUGCAUGAAUCGCGUAAUGACUUCUUUACUGUCUCUUACACAGACUCAGUGAAAUUGAAAUAUCCGUGAAGAUGCGGAUUACUCACAGCUAGACGGAAAGACCCUGUACACCUUUACUGCAUUUAUUGAUUGCAAAAAUGUAUUUGUUGUGUAGAAUAGGUGGGAGCACGAUACCUUUUUGGUACUGUGCGCCAGUGAAAUACCACCCUGCAUUUAUGUUGAUGCUAACUUAUUUCUAUAAGAACAGUUUAUAAUUGGUAGUUUGACUGGGGCGGUCGCCUUCUAAAAGGUAACGAAGGCGUGCAUAAGGUAAACUCAAAUAAAUAAAUCUUUUAUUGAAGAGUGCAAUAGCAAAAGUUUGCUUGACUGUAAGAAUAACGAUUCGAACAGGGGCGUAAGCCGGCUAUAGUGAUCCGGUGAUACUGAAUGGAAAGGUCAUCGCUCAACGGAUAAAAGGUACGUCAGGGAUAACAGGCUAAUGACUCCUUAGAGUUCCUAUCGACGGAGUUGUUUGGCACCUCGAUGUCGGCUAGUCACAUCCUGGAGCUGAA